This 492-nucleotide ribosomal RNA is filed under the name uncultured bacterium. RNAcentral's name for it is "partial 16S ribosomal RNA". It matches the Rfam family "Bacterial small subunit ribosomal RNA", at positions 29 to 507 of the family's 1533-position model. The record is from RNAcentral.
AGUGAACGCUGGCGGUAGGCCUAACACAUGCCAGUCGAACGGCAGCACAGUAAGAGCUUGCUCUUACGGGUGGCGAGUGGCGGACGGGUGAGGAAUACAUCGGAAUCUACUUUUUCGUGGGGGAUAACGUAGGGAAACUUACGCUAAUACCGCAUACGACCUACGGGUGAAAGCAGGGGAUCUUCGGACCUUGCGCGAUUGAAUGAGCCGAUGUCGGAUUAGCUAGUUGGCGGUGUAAAGGCCCACCAAGGCGACGAUCCGUAGCUGGUCUGAGAGGAUGAUCAGCCACACUGGAACUGAGACACGGUCCAGACUCCUACGGGAGGCAGCAGUGGGGAAUAUUGGACAAUGGGCGCAAGCCUGAUCCAGCCAUACCGCGUGGGUGAAGAAGGCCUUCGGGUUGUAAAGCCCUUUUGUUGGGAAAGAAAAGCAGCAGGUUAAUACCCCGCUGUUCUGACGGUACCCAAAGAAUAAGCACCGGCUAACUUCGUG